This 71-nucleotide transfer RNA is filed under the name Marmota monax (woodchuck). RNAcentral describes it as "tRNA.Ala". The record is from RNAcentral. Lineage: Eukaryota; Metazoa; Chordata; Mammalia; Rodentia; Sciuridae.
GGGGUUGUGGCUCAGUGGUAGAGCGCUCACCAAGCAUGUGUGAGGCACUGGCUUCGAGCCUCAGCACCACA